CAGCAGCCGCGGGAAAACGGAGGGUGCAAGCGUUAUCCGGAUUUAUUGGGUUUAAAGGGUCCGUAGGCGGACUUAUAAGUCAGUGGUGAAAGCCUGUCGCUUAACGAUAGAACUGCCAUUGAUACUGUAAGUCUUGAGUAUAUUUGAGUUAGCUGGAAUAAGUAGUGUAGCGGUGAAAUGCAUAGAUAUUACUUAGAACACCAAUUGCGAAGGCAGGUUACCAAGAUAUAACUGACGCUGAGGGACGAAAGCGUGGGUAGCGAACAGGAUUAGAUACCCCAGUAGUCCCUGUCUCUUAUAU
Molecule: ribosomal RNA, 301 nt
Filed under: uncultured bacterium
Lineage: Bacteria
Description: partial 16S ribosomal RNA
Rfam family: Bacterial small subunit ribosomal RNA
Source: RNAcentral